Molecule: long non-coding RNA, 849 nt
Organism: Oreochromis niloticus (Nile tilapia)
Lineage: Eukaryota; Metazoa; Chordata; Actinopteri; Cichliformes; Cichlidae
Exons: 2
Source: RefSeq, a predicted model, not a curated record
GGUCGACAUCAGGACAGUGUUUGGCUACAACGUCGCUUUCCACACAAGUCAUUGUGUCUAGACGUAUAGACGUAUAUACAGACCACCCGAUCCACUCCUAUUCCUGACAUGGCCUACUAAAAGGAUCCCGCAAGUGGGACGAGCUCCACCCGUGACGAGCUACGCUGAGGCCUUGUCCGCUGGUUAGCCCGGCUCUCUGUGUCCAACGCGAACACAGAAACCGUCAAAGUAGAGGAAUGGGUAUUUGUAUCUAUGUUCAGAAUGACUGGUCAAAUAAUAGCAUAGUUUUGGACGACCACUGUUAUUCGGUGUAGGAUAAAAUUUGAGGAAUGAAUAAGGGUGUCGAGCCUGCACCCUUGUAACCAUUUCAUACAAAGUGGACAUGAAUCACUAGAUGCAUUAAGGCUAAUUUACAACAUUGAGCCGUACUCUAAAAAAUGUGACUUAAUACUGUGAGGCUGGAUUUAAUAAAUAAAUGUUUGUGUCAGUAUCGAAUAUGACGUAAUAGGGCUUGUUGGUGCUGCCGUAAAACGCAAACGCAACAUGCAAAGAGUAAAGUGAAUCUGAUGAGUGUUAAAAACGAAGUGUCCACUGCGCGCUUCGAGCUAACCAAUCAACAGUCGGCAGUCGCUUACGAAAUCUGAAGCGUACGCCACUCCUCUGGCUCUUGUUCGCGGAAGGAUACAUCAUAUUAAUUCUGGUACACAGAAACGGUAACUCGGUGAAAAAAAUCUAAGAGCAGAAAAACAUCACAGCUGAAACUGGACAAAAUGUCACUCUGACAUGUCGAGCUCCAAGCAAUAAUAUAAUAGUUGUUGAGUGGAGCAGAGCUGACCUGAAGACAGAGCA